ACUUAUGUACUUAUAUGUGUUUCCAGCAAGAGAAGAUCUAAGAAUGUAAAUGUCUUUUUCAGGACUUUUCAUUUUAGGGGAUACUUCCCUGGAGACCUCAUGAAGCAUAAUGCAGUGGGUGCAGUGUGAUCUGGGUGCUGCCCAAUCCCCUUCCUAAACUUUGGAAAAUCAUGACCCUAUGAAUGAAGACCUUACUAGAAAAACAUAACACAAGAGCCAGGAACAUGGUGUCCUGUGUUAUGUGCUCUAUCUCUUCCAAAUGAAAAGUGAUCUGCUGUCUAAAGUCACAUUCCCCAUUGGCAUGGAGAAGCUGUAGGUGGGCUAAUUAGAAAUGG
Molecule: long non-coding RNA, 335 nt
Organism: Aethalodelphis obliquidens (Pacific white-sided dolphin)
Lineage: Eukaryota; Metazoa; Chordata; Mammalia; Artiodactyla; Delphinidae
Exons: 3
Source: RefSeq, a predicted model, not a curated record